This 253-nucleotide ribosomal RNA is filed under the name uncultured bacterium. RNAcentral's name for it is "partial 16S ribosomal RNA". It matches the Rfam family "Bacterial small subunit ribosomal RNA", at positions 524 to 776 of the family's 1533-position model. The record is from RNAcentral.
UACGUAGGGUGCGAGCGUUGUCCGGAUUUACUGGGCGUAAAGAGCGCGCAGGCGGUCGUUCAAGUCGCGUGUGAAAGCCCCCGGCUCAACUGGGGAGGGUCACGCGAUACUGAUCGACUCGAAGGCAGGAGAGGGAAGUGGAAUUCCCGGUGUAGUGGUGAAAUGCGUAGAUAUCGGGAGGAACACCAGUGGCGAAGGCGACUUCCUGGCCUGUUCUUGACGCUGAGGCGCGAAAGCUAGGGUAGCAAACGGG